AGUGAACGCUGGCGGUAGGCCUAACACAUGCAAGUCGAACGGCAGCACAGUAAGAGCUUGCUCUUACGGGUGGCGAGUGGCGGACGGGUGAGGAAUACAUCGGAAUCUACUUUUUCGUGGGGGAUAACGUAGGGAAACUUACGCUAAUACCGCAUACGACCUACGGGUGAAAGCAGGGGAUCUUCGGACCUUGCGCGAUUGAAUGAGCCGAUGUCGGAUUAGCUAGUUGGCGGGGUAAAGGCCCACCAAGGCGACGAUCCGUAGCUGGUCUGAGAGGAUGAUCAGCACCACUGGACCGGAGACACGGUCCAGACUCCUACGGGAGGCAGCAGUGGGGAAUAUUGGACAAUGGGCGCAAGCCUGAUCCAGCCAUACCGCGUGGGUGAAGAAGGCCUUCGGGUGGUAAAGCCCUUUUGUUGGGAAAGAAAAGCAGCAGGUUAAUACCCCGCUGUUCUGACGGUACCCAAAGAAUAAGCACCGGCUAACUUCGU
RNAcentral lists this ribosomal RNA (491 nucleotides) under uncultured bacterium. RNAcentral describes it as "partial 16S ribosomal RNA". It matches the Rfam family "Bacterial small subunit ribosomal RNA", at positions 29 to 506 of the family's 1533-position model. The record is from RNAcentral.